GCUCAGGACGAACGCUGGCGGCGUGCCUAAUACAUGCAAGUCGAGCGGACAGAUGGGAGCUUGCUCCCUGAUGUUAGCGGCGGACGGGUGAGUAACACGUGGGUAACCUGCCUGUAAGACUGGGAUAACUCCGGGAAACCGGGGCUAAUACCGGAUGGUUGUUUGAACCGCAUGGUUCAGACAUAAAAGGUGGCUUCGGCUACCACUUACAGAUGGACCCGCGGCGCAUUAGCUAGUUGGUGAGGUAACGGCUCACCAAGGCGACGAUGCGUAGCCGACCUGAGAGGGUGAUCGGCCACACUGGGACUGAGACACGGCCCAGACUCCUACGGGAGGCAGCAGUAGGGAAUCUUCCGCAAUGGACGAAAGUCUGACGGAGCAACGCCGCGUGAGUGAUGAAGGUUUUCGGAUCGUAAAGCUCUGUUGUUAGGGAAGAACAAGUGCCGUUCAAAUAGGGCGGCACCUUGACGGUACCUAACCAGAAAGCCACGGCUAACUACGUGCCAGCAGCCGCGGUAAUACGUAGGUGGCAAGCGUUGUCCGGAAUUAUUGGGCGUAAAGGGCUCGCAGGCGGUUUCUUAAGUCUGAUGUGAAAGCCCCCGGCUCAACCGGGGAGGGUCAUUGGAAACUGGGGAACUUGAGUGCAGAAGAGGAGAGUGGAAUUCCACGUGUAGCGGUGAAAUGCGUAGAGAUGUGGAGGAACACCAGUGGCGAAGGCGACUCUCUGGUCUGUAACUGACGCUGAGGAGCGAAAGCGUGGGGAGCGAACAGGAUUAGAUACCCUGGUAGUCCACGCCGUAAACGAUGAGUGCUAAGUGUUAGGGGGUUUCCGCCCCUUAGUGCUGCAGCUAACGCAUUAAGCACUCCGCCUGGGGAGUACGGUCGCAAGACUGAAACUCAAAGGAAUUGACGGGGGCCCGCACAAGCGGUGGAGCAUGUGGUUUAAUUCGAAGCAACGCGAAGAACCUUACCAGGUCUUGACAUCCUCUGACAAUCCUAGAGAUAGGACGUCCCCUUCGGGGGCAGAGUGACAGGUGGUGCAUGGUUGUCGUCAGCUCGUGUCGUGAGAUGUUGGGUUAAGUCCCGCAACGAGCGCAACCCUUGAUCUUAGUUGCCAGCAUUCAGUUGGGCACUCUAAGGUGACUGCCGGUGACAAACCGGAGGAAGGUGGGGAUGACGUCAAAUCAUCAUGCCCCUUAUGACCUGGGCUACACACGUGCUACAAUGGACAGAACAAAGGGCAGCGAAACCGCGAGGUUAAGCCAAUCCCACAAAUCUGUUCUCAGUUCGGAUCGCAGUCUGCAACUCGACUGCGUGAAGCUGGAAUCGCUAGUAAUCGCGGAUCAGCAUGCCGCGGUGGAAUACGUUCCCGGGCCUUGUACACACCGCCCGUCACACCACGAGAGUUUGUAACACCCGAAGUCGGUGAGGUAACCUUUAUGGAGCCAGCCGCCGAAAGGUGGGACAGAUGAUUGGGGUGA
RNAcentral lists this ribosomal RNA (1481 nucleotides) under Bacillus sp. AEPR20. Its description in RNAcentral is "bacterial SSU rRNA". It matches the Rfam family "Bacterial small subunit ribosomal RNA". The record is from RNAcentral. Lineage: Bacteria; Bacillati; Bacillota; Bacilli; Caryophanales; Bacillaceae.